This 468-nucleotide ribosomal RNA is filed under the name uncultured bacterium. RNAcentral describes it as "partial 16S ribosomal RNA". It matches the Rfam family "Bacterial small subunit ribosomal RNA", at positions 28 to 507 of the family's 1533-position model. The record is from RNAcentral.
GACGAACGCUGGCGGCGUGCUUAACACAUGCAAGUCGAACGGAAAGUCCCUGUUUUUCUGGGGUGCUCUAGUUGCGACCUGGUGAUUUACCCUUCUCUACCCUGCCCUUCACUUUGGCUUAACUUCAUACAACUUGGGCUCUUUCCGGAUAAGAGCUCCUGCUGCAUGGUGGGCGUUCGAUAGUUUCGGCGGUUGGGGAUGGACUCGCGGCUUAUCAGCUUGUUGCUGGGGUAGUGGCUUACCAAGGCCUUGAACGGUAGCCGUCCUGAGAGGAGAAGAGGCCACAUUGGGACUGAGAUACGGCCCAGACUAGUACGGGAGGCAGCAGUGGAGAAGAUUGCACAAGGGACGGGAGCCAGAUGCAGCAAAGCCGCGUGCGGGAUGACGGCCUGCGGGUUGUAAACCGCUGUCGCCUGUGACGAAGAGUGAGUGACGGUAAUAGGUAAAGAAGCACCGGCUAACUACGUG